AUGCAGCCUCGUGCCCCCGCGCGAUCGGAUCCCAUCCCCACCACCUACGGCCACCAUCUGUGGUACUGCAUCUGCGGCCACGACUUAUCUCCCUCGCAGGCGACUCUCUCCCUCUUCCACCGCCGAUUUGGCCAGCGAGCGGCGCCACCGAGGUCAGCGGCUUCGUCGAUGGUGGUGCUCUCUCACGCCCUCCGACGACCCCCUGAUCCCCUCCCUCAGGAUCCAGGAUGCAGCUCACUUAGAAAUCCUUUGGUGGCCCCGAACACUUCCUGCAGCUCUGUCCUGGCAUAUGUGCAGCUCUCUUCUUCUCUGUGUGCAAUGCAAAAAAUUUGGUUGAUGUGCAGCCGCCGAUGA
This 354-nucleotide ribosomal RNA is filed under the name Triticum aestivum (bread wheat). RNAcentral describes it as "partial small subunit ribosomal RNA". The record is from RNAcentral. Lineage: Eukaryota; Viridiplantae; Streptophyta; Magnoliopsida; Poales; Poaceae.